RNAcentral lists this unclassified non-coding RNA (331 nucleotides) under soil metagenome. RNAcentral's name for it is "partial contains 5.8S ribosomal RNA, internal transcribed spacer 2, and large subunit ribosomal RNA". The stretch from base 1 to 120 matches the Rfam family "5.8S ribosomal RNA", at positions 35 to 154 of the family's 154-position model. The record is from RNAcentral.
GAUGAAGAACGCAGCGAAAUGCGAUAAGUAAUGUGAAUUGCAGAAUUCAGUGAAUCAUCGAAUCUUUGAACGCACAUUGCGCCCCCUGGUAUUCCGGGGGGCAUGCCUGUUCGAGCGUCAUUUCACCACUCAAGCCUCGCUUGGUAUUGGGCAACGCGGUCCGCCGCGUGCCUCAAAUCGACCGGCUGGGUCUUCUGUCCCCUAAGCGUUGUGGAAACUAUUCGCUAAAGGGUGUGCGGGAGGCUACGCCGUAAAACAACCCCAUUUCUAAGGUUGACCUCGGAUCAGGUAGGGAUACCCGCUGAACUUAAGCAUAUCAAUAAGCGGAGGA